AUUGAACGCUGGCGGCAGGCCUAACACAUGCGAGUCGAACGGUAACAGGAAGCAGCUUGCUGCUUUGCUGACGAGUGGCAGACGGGUGAGUAAUGUCUGGGAAACUGCCUGAUGGAGGGGGAUAACUACUGGAAACGGUAGCUAAUACCGCAUAACGUCGCAAGACCAAAGAGGGGGACCUUCGGGCCUCUUGCCAUCGGAUGUGCCCAGAUGGGAUUAGCUAGUAGGUGGGGUAACGGCUCACCUAGGCGACGAUCCCUAGCUGGUCUGAGAGGAUGACCAGCCACACUGGAACUGAGACACGGUCCAGACUCCUACGGGAGGCAGCAGUGGGGAAUAUUGCACAAUGGGCGCAAGCCUGAUGCAGCCAUGCCGCGUGUAUGAAGAAGACCUUCGGGUUGUAAAGUACUUUCAGCGGGGAGGAAGGGAGUAAAGUUAAUACCUUUGCUCAUUGACGUUACCCGCAGAAGAAGCACCGGCUAACUCCGUG
Molecule: ribosomal RNA, 490 nt
Filed under: uncultured bacterium
Lineage: Bacteria
Description: partial 16S ribosomal RNA
Rfam family: Bacterial small subunit ribosomal RNA
Source: RNAcentral